Nasonia vitripennis (jewel wasp) is the source of this 1768-nucleotide RNA transcript. It is a transcript of the gene named mevalonate kinase, with no coding region annotated. The record is from RefSeq and is a predicted model, not a curated record. NCBI's taxonomy places the organism in Eukaryota, Metazoa, Arthropoda, Insecta, Hymenoptera, Pteromalidae. The transcript is spliced from 4 exons.
UACGUUCAAAUUCAUAUAGUGAGCUGUCUAUUCUAUAUUGGACUUUGCCCCCCCCUUUGCCCCCAUUACCGCGCGACUUGCGGCUCUCUCCCGGAAGAAUCAGCCGUUUUUGCUUACAAGCUCGAGCGAGGAGAGCCUGUGUUUGCUCACUAUAUCCUACGUGGCCAAAAUAUGCAAUAUUCCGAAGACCACAUACGCGAGAAACUGCAAAAGGAACUUGAGCCUCUACACUUGGAAGUAGAUGAUCAGUCUGACGGCUGUGGCGGAAAAUUUGCUGUUCUGAUUGUCUCGGAUAAGUUUGAAGGCAAGCCUCUUCUUCAACGUCACAGAUUGGUCAACAGCAUUCUCGAAGAGGAGCUUAAAAGUAUCCAUGCUUUCUCACAGAAGACUCUGACCCCCGAGCAGUGGAAGAAACAGCAACAACAAUAACUUAUAAGCAGCAAUGGCUUCGUUCAGAAUCUCAGCCCCGGGAAAAGUGAUCCUUUUUGGCGAGCACUCGGUUGUCUACGGCAAGACCGCGGUGGCGGCCAGUCUCGGGCUCCGAAGCAGCCUCCAUUUUACCGAGUUGCCUCAUGAAGAGUGUAUCAUUCACAUCAAGAUGCCAAAGCUCGGUAUAUCGAAGAUUCUCUCGUUGCACCAGGUAGAGGAAGAUUUCCAUCGUCUAGACUUUUACAGCGGCAUCGCAAUGAAUCACGAUGCGAUUAAUCAGAAGCUCCAGAAAUACGUUGCGACGCUUGGCUUCGAAAAUCCGGAUCAGAGGCUCAGUAUGGAGUGUUUUUUCUACGCUAUGAUGCAAGUGAUAAGAUCCGAUCAACUGAGGCUGAGCUCUUUUAUUCUUGAGCUCGACAGCGAGCUUUCCAUCGGUGCCGGUGCCGGCAGCUCGGCAUCUUUCACUGUCUGUCUCGUAGCUUGCUUCCUGCACUGGUCCCAGCUUCAAAAAGGUACUAAUCUUCCAAAUGAAUUUGAUUCUCCUACUUUGAACAAGAUAUCCCACUAUGCACUCAAUUGUGAGAAGAUUAUGCACGGCAAACCUUCCGGAAUUGAUAAUUCCGUGUGCACCUUUGGCUCGGUCAUUGAAUUUCGGAAACCCGAGCCUCCUAAGUUUAUAACUCUGGGUUCGAAGAGCUUGCGAGUUCUUCUAGUCGACACCAAGGUCGCUCGCAGUACCAAGUUGCUCGUCGAAAAGUUCGGCGCUUUGUCAUCCAGCUUUCCAACAAUAUUUAAGGAUAUGCUACAAGUUUACGAUGAACUGGCCAUGCAAGCUCUUGAUAUUAUUAAGAAGAUCCAUGCCACACCCGAGAAUGACCAAGAUCGCCUACUGAAACAUUAUGAUGAGCUUUCGCUUCUAGUUGAUAUUAAUCAAGGACUAUUGGCCACAUGUCAAGUUUCGCACGAAACGCUUGAUACGAUCUGUAAAACUGCCAAAAAGUACGGAUUUUCAGCCAAGCUUACAGGAGCCGGUGGCGGAGGUUUUGCAUAUGUACUGAUUCCACCGAACGUAAACAAUGCGAAAGUGGAAGAUUUAACCAACGAGUUGAAAAUACAAGGUUUCUCGGUAACAGAGACCAAAUUAGGAGGCUCGGGCGUAGAGGUUAACGACAUGGAUUGAUUUUGUUGCUAAAUAAUUUUCUAUUUAUGUGUAUAUACAUAUAGAUUUUAUUUUGGUUUUCUUACAUCUUUAUAAUACGCUGUACAAACGGUUUCGAUAAGUUUUACUUACUUUGGUGCAAACAACUACUAGACAUAAAUUCUUACAGAUGAAAAAAUA